RNAcentral lists this ribosomal RNA (468 nucleotides) under uncultured bacterium. Its description in RNAcentral is "partial 16S ribosomal RNA". It matches the Rfam family "Bacterial small subunit ribosomal RNA", at positions 28 to 507 of the family's 1533-position model. The record is from RNAcentral.
GACGAACGCUGGCGGCGUGCUUAACACAUGCAAGUCGAACGGAAAGGCCCUGCGUUUGUGGGGUGCCCGAGUGGCGAACGGGUGAGUAACACGUGAGUAACCUGCCCUUGACUUUGGGAUAACUUCAGGAAACUGGGGCUAAUACCGGAUAGGAGCUCCUGCUGCAUGGUGGGGGUUGGAAAGUUUCGGCGGUUGGGGAUGGACUCGCGGCUUAUGAGCUUGUUGGGGGGGUAGGGGCUUACCAAGGCUUUGACGGGUAGCCGGCCUGAGAGGGUGACCGGCCUCCAUGCUCCUGCGGUACGGCCCAGACUCCAACGGGCGGCAGCGGUGGAGAGUAUUGCAGAGUGGGCGGAAGCCUGAUGCAGCAAUCCCGCGUGCGGGAUGACGUCCUUCGGGUUGUAAACCGCUUUCGCCGGAGCCGAAGCGUGAGUGACGGUAAUUGGUAAAGAAGCACCGGCUAACUACGUG